GUCUCUUCGGCGUCACCCGUUAAAAUUGGAACGAUACAGAGAAGAUUAGCAUAGCCUCUGCGCAAGGAUGACACUCAUAAAUUGAGAAAUGGUCCAAUUUUUU
This 103-nucleotide small nuclear RNA is filed under the name Leersia perrieri. Lineage: Eukaryota; Viridiplantae; Streptophyta; Magnoliopsida; Poales; Poaceae. The record is from RNAcentral.